AAAUGUACUGAAUUCCACUGAACUGUACACUUAAAAAUGGCUACAAUGGUAAAUGUAUGUUAUUCAUAUUUUUACCAUUCUUUUAAAAGGUGCUUCCCUAGAAUCAAAUCAAGUCCCUAGUAUUAAUUACCAGUUGACAAGAAAUACAGGGGCUAGAGGAAGAAGAUAAAUUACCCCAUGAGGAAGCGAUCAGACAACGCCAGAAGGUGGAACCUUCCAGAUGCUCUUCAGGAUAACUGUACGCAGAUCAUCAAGAAGUUAAUGUCGGUCUGGCGCGGUGGCUCAAGCCUGUGAGCACUUUGGGAGGCCCUGGCGGGCAGACCACUUGAGGUCAGGAGUUUGAGACCAGCCUGGCCUACAUGGUGAAACCCCAUCUCUACUAAAAAUACAAAAAUUUAGCUGGAUGUGGUGGUGCAUGCCUGUAGUCCCAGCUACUUGGAUGGCAGAGGCAUGAGAAUCACCUGAACCUGGGAAGAGGAGGUUGCAGUGAGCCAAGAUUGUGUCACUGCACUCCAGCCUGGGCAACAAAGUGAGACUCUGUCUCCAAAAUUUAAAAAAAAGUUAAUGUUGUUUUAGAAAAAUAAUAAAGUGAAUAGAACAUUUAUGAUUAAAAGAGGCUUAAGAGACAUAACAGCCAAAUGCAAUUCAUGGACCUUGAUUGAAUCCUAGCUUUGAAAAAACAGGCAGGGCAUAGUAGCUCAUGCCUGUAAUCCCAGCAGUUUGUGGGUCUGAGGCUCACUUGAGGCCAGAAAUCUAUACCAGUCUGGGCAAUAUGGUGAAAACCCCUCUCUACAAAACACACAAAAAAAUUAACCGAGUGUAGUGGCAUGUGCCUGUAGUUCCAGCUACUCGGGAAGCUGAGAUGGGAGGAUCACUUGAGCCCAGGAGUUCUGGGCUGUUGGUGUCCCGAACAAAGAACUGGAGGAGACACACACAGAGAGCAAAGCCAAGCAGCAACAGGGUAAGAAGCACAGUGUCCACUCUCGGAUGGGGGAAUGGACUGACCUCUGCAGAUGAGAUCAGCAUCAGCUUGCUGUAAUUUGGGUCUUUUCAUGUGUUUUUUUCUUCUCUCCCCAAGGCUGCCUAAUCUCUAGCCAGUGUUUGGCUUUUGAUUGAUAGGUGUGUUGCUCAGUUAUUUGGGGCCCUUGUGUACUUCUGUGUCUCCUCUCUCCCAUAAUUUUUUUUUUUUUUUUUUUUUUUGAGACGGAGUCUUGCUCUGUCGCCCAGGCUGGAGUGCAGUGGCCGGAUCUCAGCUCACUGCAAGCUCCGCCUCCCGUUUUUACGCCAUUCUCCUGCCUCAGCCUCUCGAGUAGCUGGCACUACAGGCGCCCGCCACCUCUCCCAGCUAGUUUUUUGUAUUUUUUAGUAGAGACAGGGUUUCACCGUGUUAGCCAGGAUGGUCUUGAUCUCCUGACCUCAUGAUCCGCCCGUCUCGGCCUCCCAAAGUGCUGGGAUUACAGGCCUGAGCCACCGCGCCCGGCCUAUCCCAUAAUUUUAAGUACGUGCAUGAUAUACAGCCCAUAUGCAUGAUCCUUAAGUAGCUGAUAAUCAUGCAGGAUUAUGU
Molecule: long non-coding RNA, 1564 nt
Filed under: Papio anubis (olive baboon)
Lineage: Eukaryota; Metazoa; Chordata; Mammalia; Primates; Cercopithecidae
Description: lncRNA (ENSPANG00000042470.1)
Source: RNAcentral